ACGCUCGACACCUACGGGGGCAGCAGUGGGGAAUAUUGCACAAUGGAGGAAACUCUGAUGCAGCGAUGCCGCGUGAGGGAAGAAGGUUUUCGGAUUGUAAACCUCUGUCUUUGGGGACGAUAAUGACGGUACCCAAGGAGGAAGCUCCGGCUAACUACGUGUCAGCAGCCGCGGUAAUCUGAGCGGGCUGGCAAGGC
Molecule: ribosomal RNA, 197 nt
Filed under: uncultured bacterium
Lineage: Bacteria
Description: partial 16S ribosomal RNA
Rfam family: Bacterial small subunit ribosomal RNA
Source: RNAcentral